AGGGAAUCUUCCACAAUGGGCGCAAGCCUGAUGGAGCAACGCCGCGUGAGUGAGGAAGGCCUUCGGGUCGUAAAGCUCUGUUGCCAGGGAAGAAUAAGGGUGAGGUGACUACUCACCCGAUGACGGUACCUGAGAAGAAAGCCCCGGCUAACUACGUGCCAGCAGCCGCGGUAAUACGUAGGGGGCGAGCGUUGUCCGGAAUUAUUGGGCGUAAAGCGCGCGCAGGCGGUUUCUUAAGUCUGGUGUUUAAGUGCGGGGCUCAACCCCGUGACGCACUGGAAACUGGGAGACUUGAGUGCAGGAGAGGAGAGCGGAAUUCCACGUGUAGCGGUGAAAUGCGUAGAGAUGUGGAGGAACACCAGUGGCGAAGGCGACUCUCUGGGCUGUAACUGACGCUGAGGCGCGAAAGCGUGGGGAGCAAAC
This 423-nucleotide ribosomal RNA is filed under the name uncultured bacterium. RNAcentral describes it as "bacterial SSU rRNA". It matches the Rfam family "Bacterial small subunit ribosomal RNA", at positions 356 to 773 of the family's 1533-position model. The record is from RNAcentral.